AUCCAGCUGACGAGUCCCAAAUAUGACGAAGUGAUGUGCGUCUUGGAU
This is a non-coding RNA of Schistosoma rodhaini, 48 nucleotides long. The record is from Rfam. Lineage: Eukaryota; Metazoa; Platyhelminthes; Trematoda; Strigeidida; Schistosomatidae.